This 66-nucleotide non-coding RNA is filed under the name Fibrocapsa japonica. The record is from RNAcentral. Lineage: Eukaryota; Raphidophyceae; Chattonellales; Chattonellaceae.
UGAAAGCGUACAUAGGCACCUUUUUUGAAUGCCAGCACUGCAGGGAGCACUUCAUGGAAGGGUACA